UUCUUUGUUGAGGUUGUUGUUGACGUUGUUAUUGAACUGUCACUGAUUGAUUGUUUGAAAAUACUGGAGUAACUGAUGAAACAUGGUGAUGAUGCUGACGCGGUUGAAGAUUUCUUUUGAAAUGAGGCCUCCUCUUCCUCCCUACUGACACUGCAUUGGUUUCAUCUUUCUUCUUUUUAUGGAGAAACUGCUUCCAUACUUCUUGCUUGAUGACACCUCUUCCUUAGACAAACGUCCCUCGCGGAC
Molecule: long non-coding RNA, 246 nt
Filed under: Lathyrus oleraceus (garden pea)
Lineage: Eukaryota; Viridiplantae; Streptophyta; Magnoliopsida; Fabales; Fabaceae
Description: Pisum sativum (pea) long non-coding RNA (PSAT_LNC009739)
Source: RNAcentral